Molecule: ribosomal RNA, 294 nt
Filed under: uncultured bacterium
Lineage: Bacteria
Description: partial 16S ribosomal RNA
Rfam family: Bacterial small subunit ribosomal RNA
Source: RNAcentral
AUUGAACGCUGGCGGCAUGCCUUACACAUGCAAGUCGAACGGUAACGGGCCUUCGGGUGCCGACGAGUGGCGAACGGGUGAGUAAUGCAUCGGAACGUACCUUUCAGUGGGGGAUAACGUAGCGAAAGUUACGCUAAUACCGCAUAUUCUGUGAGCAGGAAAGCAGGGGAUCGCAAGACCUUGCGCUGAUUGAGCGGCCGAUGUCAGAUUAGCUAGUUGGUGAGGUAAAGGCUCACCAAGGCGACGAUCUGUAGCGGGUCUGAGAGGAUGAUCCGCCACACUUGGGAACUGAGA